CAGAAACACAAACCGUGCACUGUGAGCUCACCCUAACAAAUACGGGGUGAUUGGAAAAGACCAGUACAAUAGCCAGGUAUUGUCUUAAAGUAAUUAUCGAGCAUUCCUGGCCAGGCGGCAGUGUUUGGUCAAAAACCUGGAUGUCAGCAACCAUGCCACCAUCAAGUCUGCUUUUUUAAUGAGACAGACUCACCUCGUUAGCUGUGUUAUGGGUGCCGACUAUACGGAUAAAGGUCAUAGGUAGAGGCUUGAACUCGAGGUGCUGCCACGCCCUGGACACAGAAGCAUGGACAAUCAAGCAACUCCUUUUAUAGUAGGACUUGAGCUAUCUUGGCCAACAAUGUCACAGUUCAGGGAUGUACCAUGCCUUGAAAUAUUGGGGGGGGGGGGGACAAUAAGCUACAAUACAGAAACAUUAAGAAAAUAUUGGGUGGGCACAGCCACGCCCCUACUGGUCAUUUACUUUGUAAUUUUUGAAAAUUUGGGGGGGGGGGGGCACUUGCCCUUUAGGAGGGUCUUUCCUGCUCUUAUGAGUACUGAGGCAUUUCUUUGCCAUGCUGGUUGGCUACUGAAGAUAGUAUAAUAUCUCUCACAUCUUCAACUGUCAAGAGGGCCAAACUAGUGCAUCUUGCAUGAGAUAGCUGAACAUCCAUUAUGAGAAAGGGAAAAAAAGAAAUUUCCCCUUGUGCUCCAAAGGUGUCCAUUUAUAAAAACUAGAUAUAAAAGAACUUGCCUAAACAGGACAUGGUCUUACCCAAACUGAAACCAAAACAUUAUCUGAGUUCACAGAAAAAGAUAUCAGAAGAAGAAGUGGAUAAAUUAAUUGAUUAAAGUAUGAUAUGAAGGUUUUUAAUGGUAAGAGAGAAUUUUAGGGCUGGAAUUUUAGAUUUGAUAGUUUGGACAAUUUACUACGAAGGCUCCAGUAGUGUUGAUUUGUUUACAUUUUCUUCCUAUUUUCUUUUCUAUAAAAUGGUUCACAAAUGAAGAAAAGUUCUCAGAAAGCAUCCAAGACAUGAAAAAAGAGAAGCUACAGCUUUUUUUAUGUCCCAAUUCAGGAAAAAAAGGGGACCUUUCAGGGUUAAUUCCCUCAACAUGAUCCGUGCAGCAAUGAGAAAUAAAAAUAAUAAGUCGGCAAGAAAUAAUUAUAGAUGAAAGUAUAUGAAUGCAUUUGAACUAAAAUAAUCAAGUCAAUCGAUAUUGCAUUUGCAAUGCAUGCCAGAAAGUGAGGAGGUUAAAACAAAGAGCUAUUUGAAUUCUUGUUAAAACUCUGAAUAAAGUUGUGAAUAAAGCUGAUAUCAAGUUA
Long non-coding RNA from Nematostella vectensis (starlet sea anemone), 1303 nucleotides. RefSeq lists it as uncharacterized. The record is from RefSeq and is a predicted model, not a curated record. NCBI's taxonomy places the organism in Eukaryota, Metazoa, Cnidaria, Anthozoa, Actiniaria, Edwardsiidae. The transcript is spliced from 2 exons.